Molecule: non-coding RNA, 115 nt
Filed under: Youngiibacter fragilis 232.1
Lineage: Bacteria; Bacillati; Bacillota; Clostridia; Eubacteriales; Clostridiaceae
Also listed under: 1 other name
Description: Clostridium sp. 232.1 FMN riboswitch aptamer (RFN element)
Rfam family: FMN riboswitch aptamer (RFN element)
About the family: The RFN element is a highly conserved domain that is found frequently in the 5'-untranslated regions of prokaryotic mRNAs that encode for flavin mononucleotide (FMN) biosynthesis and transport proteins. This element is a metabolite-dependent riboswitch that directly binds FMN in the absence of proteins.
Source: Rfam by way of RNAcentral
ACAAGUCUUCAGGGCGGGGUGUAAUUCCCCACCGGCGGUAAAGCCCGCGAGCCUAUUUGGCAGAUUCGGUUAGAUUCCGAAGCCGACAGUAAAGUCUGGAUGAAAGAGGACAAGA